GAUGAAGAACGUAGCGAAAUGCGAUAAGUAAUGUGAAUUGCAGAAUUCAGUGAAUCAUCGAAUCUUUGAACGCACCUUGCGCUCUUUGGUAUUCCGAAGAGCAUGCCUGUUUGAGUGUCAUGAAAAUAUCAACCUUGACUUGGGUUUUGUGCUCUAGUCUCGGCUUGGAAUUGGGUGCUUGCCGCUUUUACGAGCGGCUCACCUUAAAUGUAUUAGCUGGAUCUGUCUUUGAGACUUGGUUUGACUUGGCGUAAUAAGUAUUUCGCUAAGGACAUUCUUCGGAGUGGCCUCGUUUCUAGGACGCUUGUCCGCUUUCCAAUGCAAGUUCCACCUCGUGGACAUGACUUUUUAUUAUCUGGCCUCAAAUCAGGUAGGACUACCCGCUGAACUUAAGCAUAUCAAUAAGCGGAGGA
This 413-nucleotide unclassified non-coding RNA is filed under the name soil metagenome. Its description in RNAcentral is "partial contains 5.8S ribosomal RNA, internal transcribed spacer 2, and large subunit ribosomal RNA". The stretch from base 1 to 120 matches the Rfam family "5.8S ribosomal RNA", at positions 35 to 154 of the family's 154-position model. The record is from RNAcentral.